RNAcentral lists this ribosomal RNA (333 nucleotides) under uncultured Oscillospiraceae bacterium. Its description in RNAcentral is "bacterial SSU rRNA". It matches the Rfam family "Bacterial small subunit ribosomal RNA", at positions 355 to 706 of the family's 1533-position model. Lineage: Bacteria; Bacillati; Bacillota; Clostridia; Eubacteriales; Oscillospiraceae. The record is from RNAcentral.
UGGGGAAUAUUGCACAAUGGAGGAAACUCUGAUGCAGCGACGCCGCGUGAGGGAAGAAGGUUUUCGGAUUGUAAACCUCUGUCUUCGGUGACGAAAAUGACGGUAGCCGAGGAGGAAGCCACGGCUAACUACGUGCCAGCAGCCGCGGUAAUACGUAGGUGGCAAGCGUUGUCCGGAAUUACUGGGUGUAAAGGGAGCGUAGGCGGGAAGGCAAGUUGAUUGUCUAAACUAUGGGCUCAACCCAUAGUCGCGAUCAAAACUACUUUUCUUGAGUGAAGUAGAGGUAAGCGGAAUUCCUAGUGUAGCGGUGAAAUGCGUAGAUAUUAGGAGGAA